GAUGAACGCUGGCGGCGUGCCUAAUACAUGCAAGUCGAGCGAACAGACGAGGAGCUUGCUCCUCUGACGUUAGCGGCGGACGGGUGAGUAACACGUGGAUAACCUACCUAUAAGACUGGGAUAACUUCGGGAAACCGGAGCUAAUACCGGAUAAUAUAUUGAACCGCAUGGUUCAAUAGUGAAAGACGGUUUUGCUGUCACUUAUAGCUGGAUCCGCGCCGCAUUAGCUAGUCGGUAGGGUAACGGCUUACCAAGGCGACGAUGCGUAGCCGAUCUGAGAGGAUGACCGGCCACACUGGAACUGAGCCACGGUCCAGACUCCUACGGGAGGCAGCAGUGGGGAAUGUUGCACAAUGGGCGCAAGCCUGAUGCAGCCAUGCCGCGUGUAUGAAGAAGGCCUUCGGGUUGUAAAGUACUUUCAGCGGGGAGGAAGGGAGUAAAGCUAAUACCUUUGCUCAUUGACGUUACCAGCAGAAGAAGCACCGGCUAACUCCGUG
RNAcentral lists this ribosomal RNA (497 nucleotides) under uncultured bacterium. RNAcentral describes it as "partial 16S ribosomal RNA". It matches the Rfam family "Bacterial small subunit ribosomal RNA", at positions 28 to 507 of the family's 1533-position model. The record is from RNAcentral.